Labrus bergylta (ballan wrasse) is the source of this 561-nucleotide non-coding RNA. Lineage: Eukaryota; Metazoa; Chordata; Actinopteri; Labriformes; Labridae. The record is from RefSeq and is a predicted model, not a curated record.
UUUCUCUGUCCCAAUGUGUUGUUUACUGUGAACAAUUUACAUUGCCAUGGUAACAGGAAGAGGGGUCCCAAUGGAUGAUGGCUGGGUGAAAGCACAUUACACACCUGAACACUCACAGAUCACUCACCUGAUCAGCUCUCAACAACACGCGAGGAGUCGUUCACUGACAGACGGCACUUCAGCUUUUUAUCAUUUCUAUAAACUCAUAAACAGUGAAGAAAGUGUGUGUGUGUGUGUGUGUGUGUGUGUGUGUGUGUGCAGGACACAGCUCCAAACAUGGUCUCUCUCACAGCCCUCAGGUUGUUUGCAGUGUUGGUGUGUGUGUGCUGUGUCGAGGAGUGUGUGUGCUUUCCUAAUGGCUCAGUGGCGUUCUCCUGUGGCAGCUUGAUGCCGGUACACCCACCCUUCACCCCCUCCACUAGCAGCCCCCCUUCAUGGUGUCCACCUCCAGCACCACCUACAGGCCUGGAGGAGUCAUCACAGUGAUGUUGGAAGUGGAGACAAGCAGCUCCACAGAGUUUCAGGGUUUCAUGUUACAGGCCAGGAGCAGGGGCGGAAACG